This 105-nucleotide non-coding RNA is filed under the name Rhodobacter sp. Its description in RNAcentral is "TPP sequence". It matches the Rfam family "TPP riboswitch aptamer (THI element)". From Rfam's summary of the family: Vitamin B(1) in its active form thiamin pyrophosphate (TPP) is an essential coenzyme that is synthesised by coupling of pyrimidine and thiazole moieties in bacteria. The previously detected thiamin-regulatory element, thi box was extended, resulting in a new, highly conserved RNA secondary structure, the THI element, which is widely distributed in eubacteria and also occurs in some archaea. Analysis of operon structures identified a large number of new candidate thiamin-regulated genes, mostly transporters, in various prokaryotic organisms. The record is from RNAcentral. RNAcentral also lists the same sequence under 1 other name. Lineage: Bacteria; Pseudomonadati; Pseudomonadota; Alphaproteobacteria; Rhodobacterales.
ACUUACUCGUUGGGGUGCCACGGGCGACCGUGGCUGAGAGGCGAUAGCCAACCCAUCGAACCUGAUCCGGUUAGCACCGGCGGAGGGAACGGGUAGCGCUCUGAU